ACGGGUGAGUAACGCGUGGGAACGUGCCUUCUGGUUCGGAAUAACUCAGGGAAACUUGAGCUAAUACCGGAUACGCCCUUUUGGGGAAAGGUUUACUGCCGGAAGAUCGGCCCGCGUCUGAUUAGCUAGUUGGUGGGGUAAUGGCCUACCAAGGCGACGAUCAGUAGCUGGUCUGAGAGGAUGAUCAGCCACACUGGGACUGAGACACGGCCCAGACUCCUACGGGAGGCAGCAGUGGGGAAUAUUGGACGAUGGGCGCAAGCCCGAUCCAGCCAUGCCGCGUGAGUGAUGAAGGCCUUAGGGUUGUAAAGCUCUUUUAUCCGGGACGAUAAUGACGGUACCGGAGGAAUAAGCCCCGGCUAACUUCGUGCCAGCGGCCGCGGUAAUACGAAGGGGGCUAGCGUUGCUCGGAAUCACUGGGCGUAAAGGGCGCGUAGGCGGCGUUUUAAGUUGGGGGUGAAAGCCUGUGGCUCAACCACAGAAUUGCCUUCGAUACUGGGACGCUUGAGUGUGGUAGAGGUUGGUGGAACUGCGAGU
This 537-nucleotide ribosomal RNA is filed under the name uncultured bacterium. RNAcentral's name for it is "bacterial SSU rRNA". It matches the Rfam family "Bacterial small subunit ribosomal RNA", at positions 102 to 674 of the family's 1533-position model. The record is from RNAcentral.